This is a non-coding RNA of Cicer arietinum (chickpea), 1974 nucleotides long. NCBI's taxonomy places the organism in Eukaryota, Viridiplantae, Streptophyta, Magnoliopsida, Fabales, Fabaceae. The record is from RefSeq and is a predicted model, not a curated record.
CCUUGAACUAGACUGCAUUUGCAGUUAGUUAACUCCUGGAAAAUCACAAACUCCAAGCUUCCUUCUCAACUCCCUAAAUGACUCCCACAUUCCAUUCUUCUCAAUUGAUCUCAUUUAUCCAUCCAUGGUUGCUCUCAAUUUCUCCUCCUUUACUGCUUCAUCAAACGAAGUAGGAUCAGAAUGAACGACAUGAGAAAACAAGACUAAGUGAGUUUGUACCUCUUCCUCUUUAUAGGAAAGACCUUCACCAGGGACACAAUCAUUCAUCCAUCCUGGAGCUCUUCUAUUUCGGGGCUCUGUUACUGGAUAAGCUGCAUUUCUUCUUCAUUACAAUCAUUCAAUUCCUCUUUCUCUUCACUUUUCUCAUCUUCCUAUUCCAAAUCAAAUGUGUUACCUUCUUCAGAGCUCUUCUCCCAAUUCCAUUGCUUGUCUUCUUCAAAGAAGACAUCCCGACUGAUAAUAAUCCUCUUGGAGGUAGGAUCAUAUAGUCGGUAUGCAUUUGAUUCUUCACUUACACCAAAAAGAACACAACAACGACUCUCAUCUUCAAGUUUUAUUCGUCAAGCAUCCAAUACAGGAACAUAUGCUAUACAACCAAAGACUCUCAAGUGCCCGACUGAAGGCUUCAGCCCACACCAAGCUUCAUCUGGCGUCGUUUCCUUCACUGGUAAUGUUGGACAUCUAUUAAAAACAUAGAAUGCCCAGUACACCGUCUCUACUCAGAAUUUUCUUGGAACAUUUUUCUCAAUCAAUAAGCUCCUCACCAUAUUCAUCACAAUUCUAUUCUUCUAUUCGGAGACUCUAUUCUGUCGCGGUGUAUAUGCAUCAGUUAAUUGCCUCUUGAUCCCAUUCAUUUCACAAUAUUCCUUGAACUCAUCUGAUAUGAAUUCACCUCAAUGAUUCGUUCUUAGACAUUUAAUGGAUAGACACGUUUCUUUUUCAGCAAAAGCUUUAAAUAGCUUAAAGGUAGUGAAUGCAUCUGACUUAUAAGCAAGAAAAUACGCCCACGCAUUUCUACUAUCGUCAUCAAUGAAGCAAAUGAAAUACCUUUUGUUGCCCUCUAAAAACGGAGAAAUUGGGCCACAAAUAUCAGCGUGGACCAACUCCAACUUUGUUGAUGUUCUUCAUUACUUCUCCUUGGGAUUACAUCUCGAUGUUGAUUCCCUUUCAAGCAAUCAGUGCACACAAUUUCACCCUCAUAAAAACUUGGGGAACUAUGGCUCCAAGACGCGAGAGACUUGUUGCUACUGAGAAUCCUAAGAUGGCCCAAAUGGUACAAGCUAUGAUAGAUAUUGCCGUUGUUGUUGCUACGCAAACUGUUGCGAAUAACCAAUGUGACUUGGAGAAACAAGCGAGAGAAGCAAGAGCCGCAUAAGCCACGGGCUGAUAGAAUUCUGUCAACAUGAUCCUACCAAGUUUCAAGUGGAUGUCAUUCCUGAAAAGGCUGAUUUGUGGCUACGAGUUGUAGAAAAUAUUUUCAAGGUAGCUCGUUGCUACAAGGGGUGAAAGUGAACUAUGCUACCUACUUGCUUGUCGGAGUUUCUAAAUAUUGGUGGAAGAGCGCCAAGUUGACGAUGUAAGCUGCUCUUGAAGAGGUACUUUGGAUUCCUUAUAAAAAAAAUUUCUGGAUAAGUAUUUCCCUAUGAGUGUUAGGAAAAAAUUGGGAGACGAUUUCUUGAAGCUCCAUUAGGGGAAUAUCAAUAUGACUGUUGGAAAAUAUGCAGCAAAAUUAGAGUCCCGAUAUUUCCGAUUCUUCCGUCAAAUUGUGUGAGAUGACAAAAUAUGAUAUUAAAGACUCAGUGCUAUCCUUGCGGAUAAAAAACUUUCAAGCUUUGGUUGACAAAAUUAGAGAGGUUGAAUAAAUGGAGUAUCAGAGGACUCCUGGAUGUCACAACAGUUCGGAAGGUUUGACAACUUUUUGACAAAUGUACUAAAUAGUUCAAAUAAUAAAGUGAUAAGUAGAUAAUGUCUUCA